GACGAACGCUGGCGGCGUGCUUAACACAUGCAAGUCGAACGGAAAGGCCCUGCUUGUGUGGGGUGCUCGAGGGGCGAACGGGGGAGUAACACGUGAGUAACCUGCCCUUGACUUUGGGAUAACUUCAGGAAACUGGGGCUAAUACCGGAUAGGAGCUCCUGCUGCAUGGAGGGGGUUGGAAAGUUUCGGCGGUUGGGGAUGGACUCGCGGCUUAUCAGCUGGUUGGUGGGGUAGUGGCUUACCAAGGCUUUGACGGGUAGCCGGCCUGAGAGGGUGACCGGCCACAUUGGUCCUGCGAUACGGCCCAGACUCCUACGGGAGGCAGCAGUGGGGAAUAUUGCACAAUGGGCGGAAGCCUGAUGCAGCAACGCCGCGUGCGUGAUGACGGCCUUCGGGUUGUAAACCGCUUUCGCCUGUGACGAAGCGUGAGUGACGGUAAUGGGUAAAGAAGCACCGGCUAACUACGUG
Molecule: ribosomal RNA, 468 nt
Filed under: uncultured bacterium
Lineage: Bacteria
Description: partial 16S ribosomal RNA
Rfam family: Bacterial small subunit ribosomal RNA
Source: RNAcentral